This 497-nucleotide ribosomal RNA is filed under the name uncultured bacterium. RNAcentral's name for it is "partial 16S ribosomal RNA". It matches the Rfam family "Bacterial small subunit ribosomal RNA", at positions 28 to 507 of the family's 1533-position model. The record is from RNAcentral.
GAUGAACGCUGGCGGCGUGCCUAAUACAUGCAAGUCGAGCGAACAGACGAGGAGCUUGCUCCUCUUACGUUAGCGGCGGACGGGUGAGUAAAACGUGGAUAACCUACCUAUAAGACUGGGAUAACUUCGGGAAACCGCAGCUAAUAUCGGCUAAUAUAUUGAACUGCAUGGUUCAAUAGUGAAAGUCGGUUUUCCUGUCACUUAUAGAUUGUUCCACGCCGCAUUAGCCAGUUGGUAAGGAAACGGUUUACUAAGGCAGCGAUGCGGUACCAACCUGAUAGGGUGAUCGACCACGAGGGAGCAGAGGGAGGGUCCUGACUCCUACGGGAGGCAGCAGUGGGGGAUCGUCCGCAAUGGGCGAAGACCUGACGGGAGAAGGAGACGUGAGUUGUGAAUGUGUUCGGAUCUUAAUUCGCGGUUAUUAGUGAAGAACAGAUGUGUAAGUAGCAGUGGACGUCUGGACGGUACCUAAUCAGAAAGCCACGGCUAACUACGUG